RNAcentral lists this long non-coding RNA (1594 nucleotides) under Salvia miltiorrhiza (redroot sage). Its description in RNAcentral is "long non-coding RNA (SMIL_LNC002061)". The record is from RNAcentral. Lineage: Eukaryota; Viridiplantae; Streptophyta; Magnoliopsida; Lamiales; Lamiaceae.
AAACUUUUAAUCUUCUGCAGAGCUAGGGUUGAAUCAACUAAACUAACCAAUAUACUAACUCUUAUGAACUUUAAGAAAGUAUAAACUAAUAUUCCUAUCUUAUAGGAAUUCCUCUACUUGAGAAAGUUUAAAGUAAACAAAUCCAUUUCAUAGAGAUCAGUUUACAACUAACCAUACAUGUAAAACAUAAAAUCCCAAAGUAAUUAAUCAUAUAAACAUAAUUAUAUCCAUCAACUAUCAUAUUAACAAGCUUAGUAAUCAAUAAUCCUUAAUAGGUAAUUAGAACAAUAAAACCUUAAUUUGAGUUUAGUAGUUUAGGAUCUCCAUUAACUACCAAUCACAAGUUUAAGAAACAUACCCAUUUGAAUCCUAACUUUGAAAAAAUUAUAUAAAAUCAACCACUUCAAAGAAAAAAAUAUAAACCUCACUUCUUUAGAAAGCUAUUAACGUCUAUAUUUCUCAGAAAUUUACAAAAACACAAUAUCUCAAGUGGAUAAGAAGUUAUAUGACCAAAGACAGAAUCUGCCGCUGAACUCUGCUGCUCCGUGCAGUACAUUUCAGAAAAUAGUUUGACAUGUCUAUUGGUCUCGGAUUUAGCUGAAAUUUUGCAGAGAACGACUACACAUGAUGAAGUUAUUACAGUAAAAAUUUCAAGUUAUUUGGACUACGAAAACAUCAUCAAAAGUACCCCGAAACAUACUGCCCUGUCAAGCCGAAAACUGACAGCAAAGCCCCUUUGUUUCAACUUAACAUAUAAUUCAUACGUUUGUCAAAUACAAACCAUAGGAACUCAAUUACAUCAUCUUACUACACAUUAGCAUGCUUUAGCUUGAAAUUUAACUCAUGUUUAACUCAUCAACACAAAGCAAGCAAGUUAUAACACAAUUAAUCACCACAACUUCUCCAAUCAAUACUAAAAGUAGUUCUUCCCUUAUUCAUAAAUCAAAAUUGGCUCAACACAUAGUAACAUGCCCAAUAUCCCCCAAUUUUUAUCACAUAAUCACAUUCCACGCUCCCAAGAGUUCAAUUACAUAAGCAUCAAAUAUUUAGCUAUCUUACCUCAAGAAUGCCCAAAUUCACUUAUGAACAAGCAAGGAGAGCCACAACUCCACUAGGGUUAACUAGUACACAACAACAUCAUUUGAAUUUACCCCAUAGAACAUAAAGAGGAAGAAGGGCUUAGCUUUAGGUGAUUAAGGGAAGGCAGCGGUCCCUGUUCCAUGGGGGUGAGCCGUGGAUCGACGCCGAGCGACGAGAAGAUGGGAAUUGCCAGGAACAGCAGCGGCGUAACUUUCGCUGCUAGAAUCCAGAACACGGCGAUGGCGAUUAACGAGGAAGUGCAGCUAGGGCUCAGCCUAGAAGAAGACCCCACCCUCCCUUGAGUUGUAAAGAGAGAGAACCGAGGAGGGAGCAACGGUGGCGCGUCGAUUCCCGGCCAAGAAAGACGCAGCAUCAUCGAACCAGAGCAACGGCAGCUUCCGCUUCGUCGGGAGAGAUGAGACGUCGCGGCACGUCGAGCAAGCUCCGAGCAGUGGCGCUAUUGGAUAACCUCUUGUAUAAUUGGAGUGCCUCUUGAAAUCAAAGAAAUUAAAAA